AGUGAACGCUGGCGGUAGGCCUAACACAUGCAAGUCGAACGGCAGCACAGUAAGCGCUUGCUCUUACGGGUGGCGAGUGGCGGACGGGUGAGGAAUACAUCGGAAUCUACUUUUUCGUGGGGGAUAACGUAGGGAAACUUACGCUAAUACCGCAUACGACCUACGGGUGAAAGCAGGGGAUCUUCGGACCUUGCGCGAUUGAAUGAGCCGAUGUCGGAUUAGCUAGUUGGCGGGGUAAAGGACCACCAAGGCGACGAUCCGUAGCUGGUCUGAGAGGAUGAUCAGCCACACUGGAACUGAGACACGGUCCAGACUCCUACGGGAGGCAGCAGUGGGGAAUAUUGGACAAUGGGCGCAAGCCUGAUCCAGCCAUACCGCGUGAGUGAAGAAGGCCUUCGGGUUGUAAAGCCCUUUUGUUGGGAAAGAAAAGCAGCAGGUUAAUACCCCGCUGUUCUGACGGUACCCAAAGAAUAAGCACCGGCUAACUUCGUG
This 492-nucleotide ribosomal RNA is filed under the name uncultured bacterium. RNAcentral describes it as "partial 16S ribosomal RNA". It matches the Rfam family "Bacterial small subunit ribosomal RNA", at positions 29 to 507 of the family's 1533-position model. The record is from RNAcentral.